Molecule: ribosomal RNA, 301 nt
Filed under: uncultured bacterium
Lineage: Bacteria
Description: partial 16S ribosomal RNA
Rfam family: Bacterial small subunit ribosomal RNA
Source: RNAcentral
CAGUCGCCACGGGAAUACGUAGGUGGCAAGCGUUGUCCGGAAUUAUUGGGCGUAAAGGGCUCGCAGGCGGUUUCUUAAGUCUGAUGUGAAAGCCCCCGGCUCAACCGGGGAGGGUCAUUGGAAACUGGGGAACUUGAGUGCAGAAGAGGAGAGUGGAAUUCCACGUGCAGCGGUGAAAUGCGUAGAGAUGUGGAGGAACACCAGUGGCGAAGGCGACUCUCUGGUCUGUAACUGACGCUGAGGAGCGAAAGCGUGGGGAGCGAACAGGAUUAGAGACCCCCGUAGUCCCUGUCUCUUAUAC